RNA transcript from Nannospalax galili (Upper Galilee mountains blind mole rat), 1091 nucleotides. It is a transcript of the gene named guanine nucleotide-binding protein G(I)/G(S)/G(T) subunit beta-1 pseudogene, with no coding region annotated. The record is from RefSeq and is a predicted model, not a curated record. The transcript has a single exon. NCBI's taxonomy places the organism in Eukaryota, Metazoa, Chordata, Mammalia, Rodentia, Spalacidae.
CAAGGCCAGAGACACCCAAAUUAAGAUUGUGGGUUCUGAGGAGUGUGGAAAGCACUGAGACCUAAAGAUGAGUGAGCUUGACCAGCUGCGACAGGAGGCCGAGCAACUGAAGAACCAAAUUAGAGAUGCUCGAAAAGCAUGUGCAGAGGCAACUCUCUCUCUCAGAUUACAUACAACAUUGACCCAGUAGGAAGAAUCCAGAUGUGCACCAGGUGAACGCUGAGGGGGCACCUGGCCAAGAUUUAUGCCAUGCACUGGGGCACAGACUCCAGGCUCCUUGUCAGUGCUUCUCAGGAUGGGAAACUCAUCAUCUGGGACAGCUACACCACAAACAAGGUUCAUUCCAUCCCUCUGUACUCCUUCUGGGUCAUGACCUGUGAAUACGCUCCUUCUGGGAAUUACUUGGCCUGUGAUGGCCUGGAUAAUAUCUGUUCCACUUACAGUCUGAAAACUGGUGAAGGGAAUGUGCAUGUGAGUCAUGAGCUAGCAGGACAUACAGGUUAUCUAUCCUGCUUCCAGUUCCUGGAUGACAAUCAGAUCGUCACCAGCUCUGCAGACACCACGUGUGCCUGUGGGGCAUUGAAACGGGCCAGCAGACAACCACCGUUUACUGGACACACUGGAGAUGUCAUGAGUCUGUCUCUGGCUCCCAACACCAGACUGUUUGUUUCUGGUGCUUGUGAUGCUUCAGCCAAGCUCUGGGAUGUCCCAAAAGGGAUGUGCCGGCAGACCUUCACAGGCCACGAGUCUGACAUCAAUGGCAUCUGUUUCUUUCCCAAAAACAAUGCCUUUGCCACUGGCUCAGAUGAUGCCACCUGCAGGCUGUUUGAUCUCCGUGCAGACCAGGAGCUCAUGACUUACUCCCAUGACAACAUAAUCUGCAGGAUCACCUCUGUCUCCUUCUCCAAGAGUGGAUGCCUCCUCCUCACUGGGUACCACAACUUCAACUGCAACUUCUGGGAUGCACUCAAAGCUGACCGGGCAGAUGUCUUAGCUGGACACAACAACUGCUCAGCUGCUUGGGGGUGACUGAUGAUGGCAUGGUUGUGGCAACAGGAUCCUGGGACAGCUUCCUCAAGAUCUGGAACUAA